Molecule: ribosomal RNA, 429 nt
Filed under: Liquorilactobacillus mali
Lineage: Bacteria; Bacillati; Bacillota; Bacilli; Lactobacillales; Lactobacillaceae
Description: bacterial SSU rRNA
Rfam family: Bacterial small subunit ribosomal RNA
Source: RNAcentral
UGUGUGAGAGUAACUGCUCAUGCAGUGACGGUAUCUAACCAGAAAGCCACGGCUAAAUACGUGCCAGCAGCCGCGGUAAUACGUAGGUGGCAAGCGUUGUCCGGAUUUAUUGGGCGUAAAGGGAACGCAGGCGGUUUUUUAAGUCUGAUGUGAAAGCCUUCGGCUUAACCGAAGUCAUGCAUUGGAAACUGAAAGACUUGAGUGCAGAAGAGGAGAGUGGAACUCCAUGUGUAGCGGUGAAAUGCGUAGAUAUAUGGAAGAACACCAGUGGCGAAAGCGGCUCUCUGGUCUGUAACUGACGCUGAGGUUCGAAAGUGUGGGUAGCAAACAGGAUUAGAUACCCUGGUAGUCCACACCGUAAACGAUGAAUGCUAAGUGUUGGAGGGUUUCCGCCCUUCGGUGCUGCAGCUAACGCAUUAAGCAUUCCGC